UAGGCUAUAGGCCAGACUCAGGCCUCAAAAAUUCAUCGUAGGCUAGGCUCAGGCCUUUUGAAGCCUAGCCUAUUCCCAUCCCUAGUAAUUGUUAUUUGUAUUUGAUGAUGAUUAGAUACUGAUAUACUAAUACAUUUAUUGUUGUUUGGUUCUGAUAGUGGACAGGUACUAUCCUGCACACUCUAGGAAAAUUACUGCUUACAGUUUUUGUGUUAUUUGAAUGAGGUUGAAGAUGAAAGGUCCAUCGUUAUUCUUUUGACACAUGCCAGGAUCAAGGAAGCCCAGGGUUAGUGUAAUGUGAAAUUUCUCAAUUUUCAUUACUAAAUAAUGUUUUUUUUUUGUCUGAUCUACAGGAUCAUAUCCGCCGUCAGUCAGUAAUUCUUUCAGGGCGUCUAAACUCAUGAUCAACGAGCUUGUGCUGGAAAUCCAAGAAUUCAGAGAGAGGCUUUUAGAUUUAGGGAUUGAGGUUAGAUCAGUUUUGACAUAGAUGGUGCUAUCCGGCUUGCGGUCAAUGUCACAAAAAAAUUGACAUAGAAACUGUGCCAUUCACAUGUCCAUGUGGCAAAGACAACGAUCAACCUGUACUAAGGUAUAGAGUUGAAGUGAUGCUUAAUCACAAGGGCGAACAGACCAAAUUUUUGCUCUAAGAUCGUGAAUGUGCAGAGUUAAUUGGUCAAUCGGCGGAUGAAGUCAACGAGCUCAAA
Long non-coding RNA from Glycine soja, 704 nucleotides. RefSeq lists it as uncharacterized. Lineage: Eukaryota; Viridiplantae; Streptophyta; Magnoliopsida; Fabales; Fabaceae. The transcript has 3 exons. The record is from RefSeq and is a predicted model, not a curated record.